Molecule: ribosomal RNA, 414 nt
Filed under: uncultured Glomeromycotina
Lineage: Eukaryota; Fungi; Glomeromycota
Description: bacterial SSU rRNA
Rfam family: Eukaryotic small subunit ribosomal RNA
Source: RNAcentral
AGCAGCCGCGGUAAUUCCAGCUCCAAUAGCGUAUAUUAAAGUUGUUGCAGUUAAAAAGCUCGUAGUUGAACCUUAGGCCCGUGCGGGUGGUCCGUCCUCAGGGCGAGUACUGCCUCGUUGCGGGUCUCACCUUCUGGCGAGCGUGGAUGCCAUUCGUUUGGUGUCUGCGGGAACCAGGACCUUUACCUUGAAAAAUUAGAGUGCUCAAAGCGGGCUCUUGCGCUUGAAUACAUUAGCAUGGAAUAAUGAAAUAGGACGAUGGUUCUAUUUUGUUGGUUUCUGGGACCGUCGUAAUGAUUAAUAGGGAUAGUUGGGGGCAUUCGUAUUCAAUUGUCAGAGGUGAAAUUCUUGGAUUUAUUGAAGACGGACUACUGCGAAAGCAUUUGCCAAGGAUGUUUUCAUUAAUCAAGGACG